GUCAGGAUGGCCGAGUGGUCUAAGGCGUCAGACUCAAGUUCUGAUCUUCGUGAGAAGGCGUGGGUUCAAAUCCCACUUCUGACA
Vigna angularis (adzuki bean) is the source of this 84-nucleotide non-coding RNA. NCBI's taxonomy places the organism in Eukaryota, Viridiplantae, Streptophyta, Magnoliopsida, Fabales, Fabaceae. The record is from Rfam.